Molecule: non-coding RNA, 106 nt
Filed under: Rhodopseudomonas palustris HaA2
Lineage: Bacteria; Pseudomonadati; Pseudomonadota; Alphaproteobacteria; Hyphomicrobiales; Nitrobacteraceae
Description: gcvT element as predicted by Rfam
Rfam family: Glycine riboswitch aptamer
About the family: This family represents the bacterial glycine riboswitch. Glycine riboswitches usually consist of two metabolite-binding aptamers domains with similar structures in tandem. The aptamers cooperatively bind glycine to regulate the expression of downstream genes.
Source: RNAcentral
CUAAGUCGCGUCGGGAGAGAUCGGCCCAAUCCUUCAGUGAAGGUGGGCCGGCGCCGAAGGAGCAACCGCCCCGGAAACUCUCAGGCAAACGGACCGCGCGACAGGA